GAGUAACGCGUGGAUAACCUGCCUUGCACUGGGGGAUAACACUUAGAAAUAGGUGCUAAUACCGCAUAAGCGCACGGAGCCGCAUGGCUCAGUGUGAAAAACUCCGGUGGUGUAAGAUGGAUCCGCGUCUGAUUAGCUGGUUGGCGGGGUAGAAGCCCACCAAGGCGACGAUCAGUAGCCGGCCUGAGAGGGUGAACGGCCACAUUGGGACUGAGACACGGCCCAAACUCCUACGGGAGGCAGCAGUGGGGAAUAUUGCACAAUGGGGGAAACCCUGAUGCAGCAACGCCGCGUGAGUGAAGAAGUCAUUCGUGAUGUAAAGCUCUAUCAGCAGGGAAGAAAAUGACGGUACCUGAGUAAGAAGCCCCGGCUAACUACGUGCCAGCAGCCGCGGUAAUACGUAGGGGGCAAGCGUUAUCCGGAUUUACUGGGUGUAAAGGGAGCGUAGACGGCCAGACAAGUCUGAAGUGAAAAUCCAGCGCUUAACGUUGGAAGUGCUUUGGAAACUGCCGGGCUAGAGUGCAGGAGGGGCAGGCGGAAUUCCUAGUGUAGCGGUGAAAUGCGUAGAUAUUAGGAGGAACACCAGUGGCGAAGGCGGCCUGCUGGACUGCAACUGACGUUGAGGCUCGAAGGCGUGGGGAGCAAACAGGAUUAGAUACCCUGGUAGUCCACGCGGUAAACGAUGAUUACUAGGUGUCGGGGGGCUAGAG
Molecule: ribosomal RNA, 710 nt
Filed under: uncultured bacterium
Lineage: Bacteria
Description: bacterial SSU rRNA
Rfam family: Bacterial small subunit ribosomal RNA
Source: RNAcentral